Molecule: long non-coding RNA, 1048 nt
Filed under: Androctonus crassicauda
Lineage: Eukaryota; Metazoa; Arthropoda; Arachnida; Scorpiones; Buthidae
Source: RNAcentral
AGAUCGUGGGGACGAUAUCGACUGAUCGGCGGCCGAAUGACCGCGUGGUAACGCGUUGGCGUGCCAUGUAGAAAGACCCGAGUUCGCGUCCGAGGUCUGGCCCAGCAAUCCUCGUCCUUCACAAUUCGGCUCCCUCCACGGGUGUAGAUGCAACUCACUGUUGGAACUGUCCCGGCCCUUAGUAAUAUCACCGAUUGAAAAGGGCAUAAUAAAAUUAGCAAAACAUAAAUCGACCGAAUUCGGGUAUCUUGUCAAGAUCAAAUAAAGCUCGGUGAAGCUCUAUAUAAAGCUCUAUAAAGUUUGUUAUACUUCCCUCAGAGAAGCUUAAAUCUCCCACUCCGUCAUAGGUAAUUGCUCUCUAUCAGCCCGAGGCUGACCACUUCGCGGACUAAUAUCGUUAAGGCUUCUAUCUUUUUAGCUAUUCAUCUUUUCGCGAUAUAUCAUGUUAGGAUUUGGGAAUCAGUGGGCUUGUAUCUUACGCAGAAUAUAUGACGGGUCAAUUUUUAAUCGCAAUCCGUAGAAUUUGGACUAUCGAAAGGCGAAUGGCUGAGCAUUCCCACGAAGAGGAGUGGGUGCAAUCAGGUUCUUCCGACCUAAUGGUGAAUUUUUUUCAUUUGAGACAGUAUCUCUUGACAUCCGAACAAUCAUCAGAGUCUCAGGAUACUACAGAUUAUUUAAUCGAAAACCAAAGCACCUCGAGAUCCCGCAGCAGAAAGAACAGGUUGGCCAAGUCUGGUACUCGAUCUCACUCGUGAGAUCGUCAUACACUGCACUGGCACCUAGAUCGAUGCAGGGACAUUUUGACAUGAAUGUCGACCGGCUGAGAGUUUCUUAGUAUUUCCCAAACACUAUAAACAUAUCGGCCCGGCUGCAAAACAGAUGCAGACAGUACUCUCUAGAAUAAGCCCUCCCGCUGCGUCAAGGCGAGCUCUCUUCGGGAGAGUACAAUACUGUAUAGUGUUUGCGAAUUCCAUAUUCAAGAAUCAAAAAAAAAAAAAAAAAGGAAUACUUUGUGACUUUGAACCGAUUGUUUAUAUUGUACAUUUAG